This 450-nucleotide ribosomal RNA is filed under the name uncultured bacterium. RNAcentral's name for it is "partial 16S ribosomal RNA". It matches the Rfam family "Bacterial small subunit ribosomal RNA", at positions 354 to 796 of the family's 1533-position model. The record is from RNAcentral.
GUGGGGAAUUUUGGACAAUGGGCGCAAGCCUGAUCCAGCAAUGCCGCGUGUGUGAAGAAGGCCUUCGGGUUGUAAACCGCUUUUGUCAGGGAAGAAAUCCUUUGGGUUAAUACCUCGGAGGGAUGACGGUACCUGAAGAAUAAGCACCGGCUAACUACGUGCCAGCAGCCGCGGUAAUACGUAGGGUGCGAGCGUUAAUCGGAAUUACUGGGCGUAAAGCGUGCGCAGGCGGUUUUGUAAGAUCGAUGUGAAAUCCCCAGGCUCAACCUGGGAACUGCAUUGGUGACUGCAAGGCUGGAGUGCGGCAGAGGGGGAUGGAAUUCCGCGUGUAGCAGUGAAAUGCGUAGAUAUGCGGAGGAACACCGAUGGCGAAGGCAAUCCCCUGGGCCUACACUGACGCUCAUGCACGAAAGCGUGGGGAGCAAACAGGAUUAGAUACCCCAGUAGUCC